This is a long non-coding RNA of Dicentrarchus labrax (European seabass), 523 nucleotides long. RefSeq lists it as uncharacterized. The transcript has 3 exons. Lineage: Eukaryota; Metazoa; Chordata; Actinopteri; Moronidae. The record is from RefSeq and is a predicted model, not a curated record.
GCUGCCGUAACUACAUGAAACUUGAUGGAAAACCACUUAGUUAACAUCAGCUGAUCAUCCAGAUGCCUGAAGCAGGUGUUGAGAUGCCCUUGAGCAAGGCACGUCCAGCUGAUGCAGUGGAGCUAAUCGGCAUCGAGCAACAGAAGACAGACUGGUGAAGCAGUUGUGAAUGAGCAAGAUGAGUGGGAAGCAGAGCAUAUGUGCGUACGUACUCAGCCAAUAUACUGCUGCUUUUGAUCUAUAUGUCAUGGCGGAUUAAGAAGAACAAAGUUUCAUGUGACUAUGGGAUCUUUGGGCACACGCACUCACCAGCCGAAGCUGAUCAUGAGCAUCAUACUGAGUCGCUUUCGCCUGAUGAAGGUUAAAGUAUCAUCAGCAUUCGCAACAUCUGCAGGAGGUGAAACAGUGUACGAUAAUGAAUAUGAUUUACAACCUGUUUAUAAUUUAAAAUUCCAUAUGUAAGCAGUAUGUAUGGACACGACAAAACGCACAAACUAAUAAUAAAUAAAUAUAUUUGACUGUU